GAUGAACGCUGGCGGCGUGCCUAAUACAUGCAAGUCGAGCGAACGGACGAGAAGCUUGCUUCUCUGAUGUUAGCGGCGGACGGGUGAGUAACACGUGGAUAACCUACCUAUAAGACUGGGAUAACUUCGGGAAACCGUAGCUAAUACCGGAUAAUAUAUUGAACCGCAUGGUUCAAAAGUGAAAGACGGUCUUGCUGUCACUUAUAGAUGGAUCCGCGCUGCAUUAGCUAGUUGGUAAGGUAACGGCUUACCAAGGCAACGAUGCAUAGCCGACCUGAGAGGGUGAUCGGCCACACUGGAACUGAGACACGGUCCAGACUCCUACGGGAGGCAGCAGUAGGGAAUCUUCCGCAAUGGGCGAAAGCCUGACGGAGCAACGCCGCGUGAGUGAUGAAGGUCUUCGGAUCGUAAAACUCUGUUAUUAGGGAAGAACAAAUGUGUAAGUAACUGUGCACGUCUUGACGGUACCUAAUCAGAAAGCCACGGCUAACUACGUG
Molecule: ribosomal RNA, 497 nt
Filed under: uncultured bacterium
Lineage: Bacteria
Description: partial 16S ribosomal RNA
Rfam family: Bacterial small subunit ribosomal RNA
Source: RNAcentral